RNAcentral lists this unclassified non-coding RNA (562 nucleotides) under Hevea brasiliensis (rubber tree). Lineage: Eukaryota; Viridiplantae; Streptophyta; Magnoliopsida; Malpighiales; Euphorbiaceae. The record is from RNAcentral.
GGAAUAGAAUAUUGGUGGAAUUAUAUGAGGGCUGAUGCUGAGGGUUUACAUGAGAUACGCCGGUUAUCUGAGGCUGGGAAGCUUCAACUCCCAGUAGAUAAAACUUUCCCAAUUUCACAGGUGAGAGAGGCUCACGAGGCCAAGGAUAGACGACAAAUUCCUGGCAAAGUGGUGCUAGAAAUUGACUGAUUUAACUGGACGAUCUUAACCAACAGUGCGUGGAUUCAGUGCACAAGUCUAUAAUAUCUCAUGCAAUCUGGUAUUACACUGAAUCCUUGAUGCCUAUUGCCUCGUAUACGAUAUCAUCUCUUUGCAGAAUAACCAGACCCAACUUACACUCUGUUGGCAUCUAUAGGAAGAAAACUGUGCAACCUGUAAAUUCUCAGGACAUUCUCAAUCUUUUUUCUUUUCUUCCAAGUAUCCGUCAUUGUUUCUAUGUUGCGUUAAACAUUUAAGUGAGCCAUUUAUCGUGCUCGUGACAGGAAAAUGCAUUGCGAAUGGUCGUACUAUGUCACAGGGGAGAUGUCUGUUAUUUUUUAGAAAAAAAAGAAAUAGAUAAUUA